This is a long non-coding RNA of Oreochromis aureus, 1118 nucleotides long. NCBI's taxonomy places the organism in Eukaryota, Metazoa, Chordata, Actinopteri, Cichliformes, Cichlidae. The record is from Ensembl.
CAGGUAUUCAUUGUCUUCUACAGUAGCGGGACAUUUGAUUUACUCUCAGCGGAAUUGACCGGAGAAGGCAUCAGGUCAUGCACUGCACUGGCCUGCACCACGAUUAGUAUAAGGCACAUUUCACGAAGCAGAACGCAGUCUUCAGAGAUAUCCACGUGAACGCUGUGAUACGCCUGACCUUCAGUCCGAAGAAGAAACCCAGACCAGUCUUAAAAGAAAGCACAAACCAAAUCCCCUGUACACAUAUACGGACUCAGAGGAUGAGCAGCCUACAAAAAAACAGUUUCCCCAGGCCCCUCGAGUGAAAAUACCAGCCCUCAUCACUCCGCAGUCUGCCCCCGAGCCCACUGAUAGCAACCAUCAUAAUGCCCCACCCAGCUUCCGGCACCUUUCGCCACUCCGGCACAAACCGACACAGCUUUGCGAUCUCGCCAGCAUGCAGAGUCUGAUGUCUUCCCUAUAGAUGAUUCCAGAGACUCUGUGAGGCCACUAUUACAAGGUGAGACGCUUUGCGUUGAUUGGUGCUGCUGGACCACACUGGAGGUGCGAGUCCGCCGUGUAAUGGUUUAUGCCAUUACAAAGGAGCUGGCCUCUGUACUCAACUGGGCAGGGAAAAAAACCAAGGACCAGACAAAGCAAAGGGCAUUUAAAGAGACAGCGCUGUGCAGAUGCAUAUUUGAUGGCCUGGCGCAGCAGGUAGGGGCGAACUCUAUGUCUGAGUUGGUCUUUGCUCAAGCAGUCCAGAAAUGGCUCAGAUAUGCUCCAGAUCGUACGGGUGGCGCGCAGGACGCACAUCAUCCAUCCCCAUCCCGGAGUAAAUAAUAAAAAGUGACGUGAAACAUAGAAAUGUAAAUAGGAAACUUUGUCUUUUAAUAAAGUAUUUUGCAAAUGAUACAUGUCUAUUGACCUUUUUUGUUUUUUUGUUUUUUUUUUCAAUAAAAAGCAACUGUACGAAAGAGGUGGAAAAUCAAUACCAUAGCUCAACAGUGUUUCAAUAUCAGAAUCUGACAUUGUUUCAAUGUCAACAGUGUUAGAAAAUAUAACGUCGAAUCAAUGUCAGGUUUCAACAUUGAUUCAACAUCAAAACCUGACGUUGUUUCAACGUUAAAAAUGGGUGC